UACGUAGGGGGCAAGCGUUAUCCGGAUUUACUGGGUGUAAAGGGAGCGUAGACGGCAAGACAAGCCUGGAGUGAAAGGCGGGGGCCUAACCCCCGGACUGCUCUGGGAACUGUCUGGCUGGAGUGCAGGAGGGGUAAGUGGAAUUCCUAGUGUAGCGGUGAAAUGCGUAGAUAUUAGGAGGAACACCAGUGGCGAAGGCGGCUUACUGGACUGUAACUGACGUUGAGGCUCGAAAGCGUGGGGAGCAAACAGG
RNAcentral lists this ribosomal RNA (253 nucleotides) under uncultured bacterium. Its description in RNAcentral is "partial 16S ribosomal RNA". It matches the Rfam family "Bacterial small subunit ribosomal RNA", at positions 524 to 776 of the family's 1533-position model. The record is from RNAcentral.